RNAcentral lists this ribosomal RNA (924 nucleotides) under uncultured Bacteroidota bacterium. Its description in RNAcentral is "bacterial SSU rRNA". It matches the Rfam family "Bacterial small subunit ribosomal RNA", at positions 1 to 917 of the family's 1533-position model. The record is from RNAcentral. Lineage: Bacteria; Pseudomonadati; Bacteroidota.
UGGAUCCAGACUUUGAUUAUGGCUCAGGAUGAACGCUAGCUACAGGCUUAACACAUGCAAGUCGAGGGGCAGCGGGAUUGAAGCUUGCUUCAAUUGCCGGCGACCGGCGCACGGGUGAGUAACGCGUAUCCAACCUUCCGUACACUCAGGGAUAGCCUUUCGAAAGAAAGAUUAAUACCUGAUAGUAUCUUAAGCACACAUGUAAUUAAGAUUAAAGAUUUAUCGGUGUACGAUGGGGAUGCGUUCCAUUAGGUAGUAGGCGGGGUAACGGCCCACCUAGCCAACGAUGGAUAGGGGUUCUGAGAGGAAGGUCCCCCACAUUGGAACUGAGACACGGUCCAAACUCCUACGGGAGGCAGCAGUGAGGAAUAUUGGUCAAUGGACGAGAGUCUGAACCAGCCAAGUAGCGUGAAGGAUGAAGGUCCUACGGAUUGUAAACUUCUUUUAUAAGGGAAUAAACCCUCCCACGUGUGGGAGCUUGUAUGUACCUUAUGAAUAAGCAUCGGCUAACUCCGUGCCAGCAGCCGCGGUAAUACGGAGGAUGCGAGCGUUAUCCGGAUUUAUUGGGUUUAAAGGGAGCGCAGACGGGUCGUUAAGUCAGCUGUGAAAGUUUGGGGCUCAACCUUAAAAUUGCAGUUGAUACUGGCGUCCUUGAGUGCGGUUGAGGUGUGCGGAAUUCGUGGUGUAGCGGUGAAAUGCUUAGAUAUCACGAAGAACUCCGAUUGCGAAGGCAGCACACUAAUCCGUAACCGACGUUCAUGCUCGAAAGUGUGGGUAUCAAACAGGAUUAGAUACCCUGGUAGUCCACACGGUAAACGAUGGAUACUCGCUGUUGGCGAUAUACUGUCAGCGGCUUAGCGAAAACGUUAAGUAUCCCACCUGGGGAGUACGCCGGCAACGGUGCAACUCAAAGGAAUUGACGGA